UUCAAUAUGAAAUCCCAUUACUGUCUGCCUCCAAAACCUCUCAGGCACAGGUUCUUGAACAAGUACAUUCUUGACACGGUGCUGCCAAAGAAAUCUCUAAGGAACAUGUCGGCAGCUGAAGAUGACAAUGAGCACCAGAAGAAAAGUUGCCUUCUAUCAGCUGGAAAACUUUAGUAUUGAACUGCUUUUAGUAUUCUGUAUUCAGAGCUGUUUGCAGUGCAUGUGACAGACCAAUUAUUGCAGAAACUUCGUCACAUCAGCUCAGAAUGGAAAGCAGAGACUUUCCAUUAAAAAUAUGUCUGUACAAAA
Molecule: long non-coding RNA, 309 nt
Organism: Phasianus colchicus (ring-necked pheasant)
Lineage: Eukaryota; Metazoa; Chordata; Aves; Galliformes; Phasianidae
Source: RefSeq, a predicted model, not a curated record